This 254-nucleotide ribosomal RNA is filed under the name uncultured bacterium. RNAcentral's name for it is "partial 16S ribosomal RNA". It matches the Rfam family "Bacterial small subunit ribosomal RNA", at positions 524 to 776 of the family's 1533-position model. The record is from RNAcentral.
UACGUAGGGGGCGAGCGUUGUCCGGAAUCAUUGGGCGUAAAGCGCGUGUAGGCGGCCCGGUAAGUCCGCUGUGAAAGUCCAGGGCUCAACCCUGGGAUGCCGGUGGAUACUGUCGGGCUCGAGUCCGGAAGAGGCGAGUGGAAUUCCUGGUGUAGCGGUGAAAUGCGCAGAUAUCAGGAAGAACACCCGUGGCGAAGGCGGUUCUCUGGGACGGUACUGACGCUGGAGACGCGAAAGCGUGGGGAGCGAACAGG